GUACACAAAAAUGCACAUGCUGUGAGCUCGAUGAGUAGGGCGGGACACGUGGUAUCCUGUCUGAAUAUGGGGGGACCAUCCUCCAAGGCUAAAUACUCCUGACUGACCGAUAGUGAACCAGUACCGUGAGGGAAAGGCGAAAAGAACCCCGGCGAGGGGAGUGAAAAAGAACCUGAAACCGUGUACGUACAAGCAGUGGGAGCACGCUUAGGCGUGUGACUGCGUACCUUUUGUAUAAUGGGUCAGCGACUUAUAUUCUGUAGCAAGGUUAACCGAAUAGGGGAGCCGAAGGGAAACCGAGUCUUAACUGGGCGUUAAGUUGCAGGGUAUAGACCCGAAACCCGGUGAUCUAGCCAUGGGCAGGUUGAAGGUUGGGUAACACUAACUGGAGGACCGAACCGACUAAUGUUGAAAAAUUAGCGGAUGACUUGUGGCUGGGGGUGAAAGGCCAAUCAAACCGGGAGAUAGCUGGUUCUCCCCGAAAGCUAUUUAGGUAGCGCCUCGUGAAUUCAUCUCCGGGGGUAGAGCACUGUUUCGGCAAGGGGGUCAUCCCGACUUACCAACCCGAUGCAAACUGCGAAUACCGGAGAAUGUUAUCACGGGAGACACACGGCGGGUGCUAACGUCCGUCGUGAAGAGGGAAACAACCCAGACCGCCAGCUAAGGUCCCAAAGUCAUGGUUAAGUGGGAAACGAUGUGGGAAGGCCCAGACAGCCAGGAUGUUGGCUUAGAAGCAGCCAUCAUUUAAAGAAAGCGUAAUAGCUCACUGGUCGAGUCGGCCUGCGCGGAAGAUGUAACGGGGCUAAACCAUGCACCGAAGCUGCGGCAGCGACGCUGAUGCGUUGUUGGGUAGGGGAGCGUUCUGUAAGCCUGCGAAGGUGUGCUGUGAGGCAUGCUGGAGGUAUCAGAAGUGCGAAUGCUGACAUAAGUAACGAUAAAGCGGGUGAAAAGCCCGCUCGCCGGAAGACCAAGGGUUCCUGUCCAACGUUAAUCGGGGCAGGGUGAGUCGACCCCUAAGGCGAGGCCGAAAGGCGUAGUCGAUGGGAAACAGGUUAAUAUUCCUGUACUUGGUGUUACUGCGAAGGGGGGACGGAGAAGGCUAUGUUGGCCGGGCGACGGUUGUCCCGGUUUAAGCGUGUAGGCUGGUUUUCCAGGCAAAUCCGGAAAAUCAAGGCUGAGGCGUGAUGACGAGGCACUACGGUGCUGAAGCAACAAAUGCCCUGCUUCCAGGAAAAGCCUCUAAGCAUCAGGUAACAUCAAAUCGUACCCCAAACCGACACAGGUGGUCAGGUAGAGAAU
This 1299-nucleotide ribosomal RNA is filed under the name Escherichia coli. Its description in RNAcentral is "partial 23S ribosomal RNA". It matches the Rfam family "Bacterial large subunit ribosomal RNA", at positions 375 to 1679 of the family's 2925-position model. The record is from RNAcentral. Lineage: Bacteria; Pseudomonadati; Pseudomonadota; Gammaproteobacteria; Enterobacterales; Enterobacteriaceae.